CCGUUUAAUAUCUAGUAAUUUUCUUUAAUAACAUUUAAAGAGAAGCAUUUAAAAGCAUAAUAACCAUUAAAUUAUUAAUUCUUGCAUGUGUGUAAAUUUGAAUGAUACACUACAAAGUAUGCUUCUAAAGCAACACGUAGAAGAAGAUUAUAAAUAAGUUAAUACCUCAUUUCAGAGAAAGUACGCCCGUGUAUUAUUUGACUGUCAAUCAAUUUAAUACUAAGUGCACUAUAUACUUGCCCAUGCUAGUAGGAAAUUCCUUGCUUAUAGACAUAUUUUCUCCGAUGUGAUAUUUAUCACAGUGAUAGUUUUUAGUGUACAUGAAUGUCGCGGUCAACAAUGAUUCCAAUUCGAAUUGUAUUCAUUUAAAAUACAGAAAUCACAAUUUUAUUUUUUAAAAUGAAAUUCCUCAUAAGGCCAAAAUUCUUUUUUAAAACCUUACGUCUUAUCGGUGAUAUGAUUGCUAUAUGGCCUAAACAUAUCGGUGCAAAGAAAACUAUGAUUAUGUUUCAUGAAGUAAAAUGGUGGUUGUCAUUUACGAAUGCUACCGGUUUGUUAAUACCACUUGUAUUGGGAGUCUAUUAUUUUCGUAAUGAUUCUAUAACGAUGACAAAAACGUUAUCAGAACUUACAGCAUUAUGCGAAGUUUUUAUCAAUCUUAUACAGUGUCGACUUCAGGAAAAAAAAUUUCAGGUAAUCCUUUAUGAGAUUGAAAACUUUAUUGAAAAUAGCAAUGAACAAGAAGAGUCACUAUUGCAAGAUUAUUUAAACAGAUACAAAACUUUGCAACUUUUUGUAGGAUCGUCAUUUAUAUCUACAGCAAUAUUAUUUUCUUGUAUACCAAUUUUCACGUCACAGUUACUUCCCGCGGAUGCGUGGUAUCCUUUUUCAGUGGAAUAUUUUCCAAUUCGCGUAUUUUUGUACAUAACGCAAGUUUUGGCUAUAUUUCAAACUGGAUUUGGUAUAUGCGUUGAUCUCACCGUUGCUACAAUGUUGUGGUACAGUGCUGUACAAAUUGAAUUGCUAGAAAAAAAUGUACAUAAAGCAGUUAGUAAAGCUGAACUUCGGGAGUGCGCUCGUCGCCAUCAAGAAAUCAUUGAAUUUACCGAUAAUAUAAAGAAAGGGAUUAAAUUUAUAAUCUUAAAGACAAAUGCAACAAUGAUAAUUGUCGUCAUUUGCGGUGCAUUCCAAUUAAUUCACCACGAGCCAUUAGAAGUUCUACUUCGGUUUACGCUUAUGGUAUUGGCGGGAUGCUUAAGAUUGUACGUUAGUGCCAAACCAGCUGAUGAUUUAAAAGAAAACAGUGAACAAUUAGCUCGGACUGCCUUCCAAACAGCGCUAAUGCAAAAAUCAACCUCUAAUUCGAAAAUUGGACUCAUGUUGGCUUUCCGGUGUCAAAAACCAAUCGUACUUUCUGUAACAGCUGUAAUUAGAGCGUAUACUCUUCAGUACUAUGCUUCUUUUUUAUCUCGAACAGUGACAUAUUUCGUAAAUUUAAGAGCAGUUUUGGAUGAUUAAAAUUCAGGUGAUAUGCUAAGUAUUUUUUGUUACAUAAAUAUGUCAAUGGCAAUAUCCAAAUAGUACACUCCUUAGCUUCUUGCAAGUACACUAUCCAUUAAUAAAAUCUGAAUAUUUAGAACGUCAUCUAUCAUGAUAUCUCCAUAAGAAAUACAUUAAAUUUUGUCUAGAUGCAGUGGAUAGUGUGAUCCGCGAUGAAAUAUGCUUCUAUAUAGUCGAACUGAUGGAUAAAUCCAUGAUUUUGGAUUUAAGACAAAGGAUAGAACAAUGAUAAAUAAGUUAAAAGAAAAACGUACAAAAAUCAAUCUUUUUUCUAUAUUGAACUUAAUAAAAACACACUUUGUGCUCAUUUUGUAUGCUAUUGAUUAUGAAAGACUGUAAUUUCGUAAUAAAUCAUUAUUCAAUGAAAUAUUUCUACUCUUUACAAA
RNA transcript from Nasonia vitripennis (jewel wasp), 1946 nucleotides. It is a transcript of the gene named odorant receptor 45, with no coding region annotated. The transcript has 7 exons. NCBI's taxonomy places the organism in Eukaryota, Metazoa, Arthropoda, Insecta, Hymenoptera, Pteromalidae. The record is from RefSeq and is marked inferred.